UGUGUAAGCGCAGCGAUGCGUUGAGCUAGCCGGUACUAAUGAACCGUGAGGCUUAACCUUACAACGCCGAAG
This 72-nucleotide ribosomal RNA is filed under the name Escherichia coli. RNAcentral describes it as "partial 23S ribosomal RNA". The record is from RNAcentral. Lineage: Bacteria; Pseudomonadati; Pseudomonadota; Gammaproteobacteria; Enterobacterales; Enterobacteriaceae.